GCUCACUUAGUAUAAUGGUUAGUACAUCACGUUGUGGCCGUGAUAAUCCCAGUUCGAUUCUGGGAGUGAGCA
Molecule: non-coding RNA, 72 nt
Organism: Coelomomyces lativittatus
Lineage: Eukaryota; Fungi; Blastocladiomycota; Blastocladiomycetes; Blastocladiales; Coelomomycetaceae
Source: the annotation of a GenBank genome assembly